UACGUAUGGUGCAAGCGUUAUCCGGAUUUACUGGGUGUAAAGGGAGCGUAGGCGGCGCGUUAAGUCUAAUGUGAAAACCCGAGGCUCAACCACGGGAGUGCAUUGGAAACUGGCGGGCUGGAGUGCCGGAGAGGUAAGCGGAAUUCCUAGUGUAGCGGUGAAAUGCGUAGAUAUUAGGAGGAACACCAGUGGCGAAGGCGGCUUACUGGACGGCAACUGACGCUGAGGCUCGAAAGCGUGGGGAGCAAACAGG
This 253-nucleotide ribosomal RNA is filed under the name uncultured bacterium. Its description in RNAcentral is "partial 16S ribosomal RNA". It matches the Rfam family "Bacterial small subunit ribosomal RNA", at positions 524 to 776 of the family's 1533-position model. The record is from RNAcentral.